This 270-nucleotide ribosomal RNA is filed under the name uncultured archaeon. Its description in RNAcentral is "partial 16S ribosomal RNA". It matches the Rfam family "Archaeal small subunit ribosomal RNA", at positions 477 to 747 of the family's 1478-position model. The record is from RNAcentral.
CAGCACCUCAAGUGGUCAGGAUGAUUAUUGGGCCUAAAGCAUCCGUAGCCGGCUCUGUAAGUUUUCGGUUAAAUCUGUACGCUCAACGUACAGGCUGCCGGGAAUACUGCAGAGCUAGGGAGUGGGAGAGGUAGACGGUACUCGGUAGGAAGGGGUAAAAUCCUUUGAUCUAUUGAUGACCACCUGUGGCGAAGGCGGUCUACCAGAACACGUCCGACGGUGAGGGAUGAAGGCUGGGGGAGCAAACCGGAUUAGAUACCCGUGUAGUCC